Hypanus sabinus (Atlantic stingray) is the source of this 1053-nucleotide long non-coding RNA. RefSeq lists it as uncharacterized. Lineage: Eukaryota; Metazoa; Chordata; Chondrichthyes; Myliobatiformes; Dasyatidae. The record is from RefSeq and is a predicted model, not a curated record. The transcript is spliced from 3 exons.
GGGAAUGCUGCCAGUCUUUGCUAACAAUCAACAUGGUCCGCAGCCCUGCAUGGAGACUCAAUACCCCACUUCAGACUGCAUCAUGAGGUAUCAGAAUGGAAAUACAAGGCAUGGGGAAUAUGGCAGAUUAAUAAUGGUACUUAAACAUCUGUAGUUUGAAUCAACUGACAUACAGAAAGCAACUUUGGGCAAUGCACAGACAAAAUUACUGCUUCAGGGUCUUCAGAUAAGGCGAUCCUGAGAAUGAUCACUUGGAGAAUUCAUUCCUAUUGAUAAUUCCUAUGGGCCUACUCCGACUGCUCCAAAAUAAACUGUUAAAGCCUGUGACAUACAGUUUGGAACCCAAUCACAGAAUCCAGCGUCACGCUGUGUCCGGGGAGCUGCCUCGUGAAGAUCAGAGACGGGGGGGAGGUGGGGGUGGCCCUAAAAGAUCCAAGAACACAGCUGACUCGUGGAAAAGACCAUAGCUGAGAUGCGGGGCGAUGGAUGACUCUGUCUGGAAGUGGCAAGGGAGAUUGAAACAUUGAGGCGAAUGUGGAGGGAGUCAGCGAUGGCUCCUGACAGAGACGGGCAGCAGCUUUUGGUCCUGGAUCGGCGGAUUUUACACCCGGAUCAGCAGUCACUCUUUACAGAAGGAAUGAGUCCUUAUAUGCAGACAAAAAGACUCCCAUAUUCUGAGACUUAUGUGAUUAUUGGACUGCACUUCAUAUUGGUUUCCAGUUUUUCAGUGCUUUCUUUCCUGUGGAUGAUUGGUGGGUGGGUGAUCUGUUAAUUUUUUGUAUGUAAGAUGUAGAGGUUGGUGCUACUGUCACUACUUUUCAGUGAGUGAGGGGGUCAGGGAUUGUUACAUGCAGGGGGAUCCUGAUUGUAUUGUGGCUAUUUUUUUUCUGCGGGGAGGGAAUUGUAGGACCUGCAAGUUCUGGUUCUUUUCUUUUUCAUGCUGGUUGGGGGGUGCAGAGUUGAUGUCUUUUCUUUCACCAAUACCCAUGAUCUUUCUGUGUUCAGUGGCUACCUGGAGAAGACAAAUAUCAGAGCUGUAUUGUGCAUGCAUAA